AUAUAUUUUAUUACAAAAAAAUCUGUUCUUAUCAGUUUAAUAUCUGAUACGUCCCCCAUCGGGGGACUACAUAUUAAAUUGAUUUUUUGAACAGGGAGUCGGAAAUGGGGCUUGCUCCGUCCGCUCCACGCAUCGACCCGGUAUUGCAGUACCUCCGGGAACGGUGCAACACUU
This 174-nucleotide small nuclear RNA is filed under the name Oncorhynchus kisutch (coho salmon). RNAcentral's name for it is "U2 spliceosomal RNA (ENSOKIG00005006963.1)". It matches the Rfam family "U2 spliceosomal RNA". From Rfam's summary of the family: U2 is a small nuclear RNA (snRNA) component of the spliceosome (involved in pre-mRNA splicing). Complementary binding between U2 snRNA (in an area lying towards the 5' end but 3' to hairpin I) and the branchpoint sequence (BPS) of the intron results the bulging out of an unpaired adenosine, on the BPS, which initiates a nucleophilic attack at the intronic 5' splice site, thus starting the first of two transesterification reactions that mediate splicing. Lineage: Eukaryota; Metazoa; Chordata; Actinopteri; Salmoniformes; Salmonidae. The record is from Rfam by way of RNAcentral.